RNAcentral lists this long non-coding RNA (1223 nucleotides) under Capra hircus (goat). RNAcentral's name for it is "lncRNA (ENSCHIG00000007321.1)". The record is from RNAcentral. Lineage: Eukaryota; Metazoa; Chordata; Mammalia; Artiodactyla; Bovidae.
CACUAAAUUACAUCCCACCAACUUAAGCUUCCCUGGAGUGACUCACACAGUGGUUGACUUUUAAAGUUCAUUGAAGGUGAGGGUUCAGGCUAUACAAGGUCAGAGUUUCUCCAUGAAGCAGGACAAACAAAAAUUCAUAAUGCCAGGCUGUUUGACAUUCUUUCUAAAAGGAGAAGGCCACUGGUUUUUCCCUCCCCUAACUCUUUCCUGGAAAAAAAGUAUAGGAAUUAUCCCCAGUGGUGUUGGAAGACAGAAUUUCUGGUGCCUUACUUGUUGCCAGAUAUAAAGAUAGAAAAUUCAUUACUGAUAUAUACUGGAUCACCAGAAGACUGGAUGGUGGCAGGCUGUGAAUCAAAGAAGGCAGGAGGUGAAAUUAUCCGGGGAACCCUAGAAUGACAUAGUGAAGAAAAACCAGAAAAUGAGCAGUGUGGAUCCCACUGCCAAUCUCAGUGCAAGCCUCUGGAAUGAAAUGAAGAAGAAGGCGAUGAAGAUGACUUUUAAUGAAUCAUGUCAGAGUAAUAUCCAAACAGAUGGUGGCUCUCUCCAGGGCCACAACUCCCAACAUCAAAGCCCAAAGAAUCCUCUGACUCCACCCUCCUAGACAGAGACUGCCCUCCCCAAGAUCUACUUUUUACCAAGAAAGCCUGAAGACCAGGGCCUGCAUCCUGCAAUGAGGUGUUCAACAAUGUAUGGAAAAACCAGAAAAAAUAAGAAAAAAUGUGAUUUUUUUUAAAAAAGUAAGCUCCAUACAUCAAUUUGGGAUUCUGACUUUAUUCUGAAAACAUGCUAUUUUUGCACAUUUAAUGUUAAAUUGUUUCAUACUUUAUGAAAAUACAAUAAUAAUUGAAUGUUCUCGAUGCCUGUAUUCAAAAUCAAAAGUUAACGAUCAAAUUUGGGCUUUUAAGUUGAAGUAAAAAAUACAUACUGCUUUGCAAAAUUCAUGUAUCUGCCACAGCACCUGUUCACACUUAUUACAAAUGCUUUUAUAAAUGAGUGUCUCUCUAGACUCCAGGGCCUGUGACAGUAGGGAUCAUCCUUAUUCAUCUGGACAUGAGGAUCUAUUGUAGUGCUUGUUUAAAGAAUAUUCUCUGCAGAAUGCAUGGAGAGAAGAAAGGUAGCAAAAAGGUCAGAAGACUAAGAAAUAUUUUAUAGAAAUAUUUUCUUUUAAUCUUUUCUUCUCAGUGUAAUUUUAAGAAAUGUAAAAGGCUCCUUCCCAAAACAAU